Gasterosteus aculeatus aculeatus (three-spined stickleback) is the source of this 349-nucleotide long non-coding RNA. Lineage: Eukaryota; Metazoa; Chordata; Actinopteri; Perciformes; Gasterosteidae. The record is from Ensembl.
AAACGGCUUCACACUUCAGGGAACUAUUUGCGUUAUCAGGUUAUCUGCGGUCAUCUCUAUACAGGGAAACAGCUUUGCAUAUGAAAUGGAAACAUCUUUAUCUUUACUAGUGGUGUUACCACUAGUACUAGUACUAGUGCAGGACUCUUGGUGCACAAAGAAAAGCUUUAUGUUUCUGUAAGCAUCCGUUGUUUUACACAGUAUCCGGCUGUACAACAAGAGUCUGAGGGAGACGGAAUACUGUGACCCACAGAAGUGCUCAGGUCAGGGGGCCGGACCCCGACUCCCAUGAGCCUCAGCUGCCGUCGCCAUGGAGAAGGUGCAACUGUCAGAUGCACGUAAAACGGCU